RNAcentral lists this ribosomal RNA (1400 nucleotides) under uncultured bacterium. RNAcentral describes it as "16S ribosomal RNA". It matches the Rfam family "Bacterial small subunit ribosomal RNA". The record is from RNAcentral.
AGAGUUUGAUCCUGGCUCAGGAUGAACGCUGGCGGCGUGCCUAACACAUGCAAGUCGAACGAAGAGGCCCCUUCGGGGGUACUUCAGUGGCGGACGGGUGAGUAACACGUAGGCGACCUGCCCCGAGGCAGGGGAUAACGGCUCGAAAGGGCCGCUAAUACCCAAAAGGAUCGCGAGUCGCAUCGCGAUCAGAGUUACGGCGUCUCGGGAGGGGCCUGCGGCCCAUCAGCUAGUUGGUAGGGUAACGGCCUACCAAGGCGACGACGGGUAGGGGACCUGAGAGGGUGACCCCCCACAUUGGCACUGACACACGGGCCAAACUCCUACGGGAGGCAGCAGUGAGGAAUAUUGCGCAAUGAGCGAAAGCUAGACGCAGCAACGCCGCGUGGACGAUGAAGGCCUUCGGGUCGUAAAGUCCUUUUCAGAGGGACGAGUGAGGACGGUACCUCUGGAAUAAGUCACGGCUAACUACGUGCCAGCAGCCGCGGUAAUACGUAGGUGGCAAGCGUUACUCGGAAUCACUAGGUGUAAAGCGUGGGUAGGUGGUUUGGAAAGUUAGAAGUGAAAGCUCCAACUAAAUUGGAGAGGCCUUCUAAAACUUCCAGACUUGAGUGUAGCAGGGGGAAGUGGAAUUCCCGGUGUAGCGGUGAAAUGCGUAAAUAUCGGGAGGAACACCUAUGGCUAAAGCGACUUCCUAGGCUAUUACUGACACUGAGCCACGAAGACGUGGGGAGCAAACAGGAUUAGAUACCCUGGUAGUCCACGUAGUAAACGAUGGAAACUCGAUAUGGGAGGUAUCGACCCCUUCCGUGUCUAAGCCAACGCGUUAAGUUUCCCACCUGGGGAGUACGGCCGCAAGGCUGAAACUCAAAAGAAUUGACGGGGGCUCGCACAAGCGGUGGAGCAUGUGGUUUAAUUCGACGCAACGCGAAGAACCUUACCUGGGCUUGAAGUGCUGGUGGUAUCCGGGUGAAAGCUUUGGAGAACCGCAAGGUAGCCAGCAGAGGUGCUGCAUGGUUGUCGUCAGCUCGUGUCGUGAGAUGUAUGGUUAAGUCCCAAAACGAGCGCAACCCUUGCCUCAUGUUGCUAACCCUGAUGCAAAUCGGGGAGUACUCUUGGGGGACUGCUCCGGUUAACGGAGAGGAAGGUGAGGAUGACGUCAAAUCAUCAUGGCCUUUAUGUCCAGGGCUACACACGUGCUACAAUGGCUAUUACAACGGGAAACCAAUCCGCAAGGAGGAGUAAAUCCCUAAAAAGUAGCCUCAGUUCAGAUUGAGGGCUGCAACUCGCCCUCAUGAAGGAGGAAUCGCUAGUAAUCGCUAAUCAGCAGGUAGCGGUGAAUACGUUCCCGGGCCUUGUACACACCGCCCGUCACACCAUGGGAGCUGAUUGUAAUCGAA